RNAcentral lists this long non-coding RNA (338 nucleotides) under Mytilus galloprovincialis (Mediterranean mussel). Lineage: Eukaryota; Metazoa; Mollusca; Bivalvia; Mytilida; Mytilidae. The record is from RNAcentral.
AAUUCAUCAAAUUAAUAUCAUAUAUCUGUAUAUAUAUAGUUUAUCUAAUUGCUAUCUCAUUUUGAAUCAUUAUAUUCGAAUAGCAUGUGUGUGUCCGUAUGCCCGACAUAGGCUCCUAAUUUGAAAAUAAAAUAUGCUUAAUAUGUAAUUUUUAAUAUAAGCAUCAAUGACUAUGUCCAAAACGGAUUUUACAAAACAUUAAAAAAAACCACAAGACUCGACAACCACUAAACAUGAGGGAAUACAUUUAGAUAUAUAUUUAAAAGUAUAAAACUGCACCCGUCUUGUUAGUGUGAGUAAGCAUUCAGAACAAUCCAGCAUCAAUCAACAUAUUGUUU